RNAcentral lists this long non-coding RNA (732 nucleotides) under Selaginella moellendorffii. Its description in RNAcentral is "long non-coding RNA (SMOE_LNC001056)". The record is from RNAcentral. Lineage: Eukaryota; Viridiplantae; Streptophyta; Lycopodiopsida; Selaginellales; Selaginellaceae.
CGAACUACUACAUCCUACUGAAGCUGCUGCUUCAACACCAGAGCCACUCGCGAAACUGACGGUCCCACACUAGAUCCCAGAACUCUCUGCUGCGAUUACCAGCGUCAACAACAUUGUAUUCAAUCUUAGAAACCAAACCAUACUCAAAGACUAUAUACUGGAAUCAGCCGCUGCCUAGAAUGCUGUUGAUAGAUUUUGCCCUUGUUGUAAACCAGCAGGAAAUAUGAUCCAGCAGAUAAUCUUGUUCUUGUUGUGACCUUCGACUGCUGCUUUCAACAUCUCAAAUCGGGCUAGCGACAUUCUUUUUUGAUGAACUUGGAACUUCAACUAUGUGGUUCCAAGACACGAUGGCGUCUUAUGCAGUUGAGUGUCAAGGAUUGAGUGGUCCAAAGUCUCGGAAUCAUCAUUCCGUACUUAAGCCUUCACAAAAAUAGAAUGCCUCAAACAUUUGCCCAUUACAGGCAAAUGCUGAGAGGAGGUUUACCUUAACUUUGUAUCCUCGCAGCUGGAGCUUCUGGAUGAGCUACCUGACUGGUAGCGCCCACGACCAGAAGCAUUGUAAACUCGGCAUUGGAGAUGGUGAAUUGGGCCGCCGACGAGCACAACCCAGAUGCAUUUAACUUGUGGAAGAAUUUGAGGGAUCAUCCGCACAAGCUAUGAUCAAUCACAAGAAACUGAAUGGAGUUGAAUUUCUUGAGGAUCGAGCCUUACUGCUUGGAUCGUGCAUUGCCA